GAUGAACGCUGGCGGCGUGCCUAAUACAUGCAAGUCGAGCGAACAGACGAGGAGCUUGCUCCUCUGACGUUAGCGGCGGACGGGUGAGUAACACGUGGAUAACCUACCUAUAAGACUGGGAUAACUUCGGGAAACCGGAGCUAAUACCGGAUAAUAUAUUGAACCGCAUGGUUCAAUAGUGAAAGGCGGUUUUGCUGUCACUUAUAGAUGGAUCCGCGCCGCAUUAGCUAGUUGGUAAGGUAACGGCUUACCAAGGCAACGAUGCGUAGCCGACCUGAGAGGGUGAUCGGCCAAACUGGAACUGAGACACGGUCCAGACUCCUACGGGAGGCAGCAGUAGGGAAUCUUCCGCAAUGGGCGAAAGCCUGACGGAGCAACGCCGCGUGAGUGAUGAAGGUCUUCGGAUCGUAAAACUCUGUUAUUAGGGAAGAACAAAUGUGUAAGUAACUAUGCACGUCUUGACGGUACCUAAUCAGAAAGCCACGGCUAACUACGUG
This 497-nucleotide ribosomal RNA is filed under the name uncultured bacterium. RNAcentral describes it as "partial 16S ribosomal RNA". It matches the Rfam family "Bacterial small subunit ribosomal RNA", at positions 28 to 507 of the family's 1533-position model. The record is from RNAcentral.